RNAcentral lists this long non-coding RNA (548 nucleotides) under Linum usitatissimum (flax). Its description in RNAcentral is "long non-coding RNA (LUSI_LNC003592)". Lineage: Eukaryota; Viridiplantae; Streptophyta; Magnoliopsida; Malpighiales; Linaceae. The record is from RNAcentral.
GAAGAAGAAGAAGAAGAAGAAGAAGAAGAAGAAGAUCGGUCAUCACCACUCUGCACCUUCUCAAAUCUUCUUCUUUUUCUUCUCUGCCCACUCCUCUCCUUCUCUCUCUCUCUCAUCAUCAAUCAUAUCUUGUUUAUUUUUUUGUCAUUAUAAGAUACAUUCAUCUUCCCCACUCCCAUCAAACUUAACAAACCCCUCCAUAUCCCUAUUUUUCUUAAAUCCCACCCACCUUCCCCCAAAAAAAAUGAAAGGAGAAGAAUAUCUAGAACAACCACCACAUCAUCAUCAUCAUCCAAAUCCAAAGCAUGACAAUACUACUAAUAUGUUCUCCAAACUUCACCCCCACCGCCACCAAAACCCUAACCCAAAUCCUUUCCCUCACCACCAAGACCAUGACCUCCCUCCCUCCGACCACCCCAACUCCAGCGAUGGCGGCGGCGCUACUAUCGAGGUCGUCCGCCGCCCUCGAGGCCGCCCACCUGGAUCCAAAAACAAACCAAAACCACCCAUAAUCAUCACCCGGGUAGACCCAGCUGAACCGCCCANNN